Molecule: ribosomal RNA, 468 nt
Filed under: uncultured bacterium
Lineage: Bacteria
Description: partial 16S ribosomal RNA
Rfam family: Bacterial small subunit ribosomal RNA
Source: RNAcentral
GACGAACGCUGGCGGCGUGCUUAACACAUGCAAGUCGAACGGAAAGGCCCUGCUUUUGUGGGGUGCUCGAGUGGCGAACGGGUGAGUAACACGUGAGUAACAUGCCCUUGACUUUGGGAUAACUUCAGGAAACUGGGGCUAAUACCGGAUAGGAGCUCUUGCUGCAUGGUGGGGGUUGGAAAGUUUCGGCGGUUGGGGAUGGACUCGCGGCUUAUCAGCUUGUUGGUGAGGUAGUGGCUUACCAAGGCUUUGACGGGUAGCCGGCCUGAGAGGGUGACCGGCCACAUUGGUACUGAGAUACGGCCCAGACUCCUACGGUAGGCAGCAGUGGGGAAUAUUGCACAAUGGGCGGAAGCCUGAUGCAGCAACGCCGCGUGCGGGAUGACGGCCUUCGGGUGGUAAACCGCUUUCGCCUGUGACGAAGCGUGAGUGACGGUAAUGGGUAAAGAAGCACCGGCUAACUACGUG